CUUUUUUUGUUUUAUUUUUUUUAUAUUAUUUUUGUAAAAUGUUUUAAUUUUAUUAUAUUUUUAAAGAUAUUGAAAAUUUGUUUGUUGAACUGGAUUAGUACCCAGGUAAUCAAAAUUUAUUAAUUCGGGAGUAAAGUUUUGUUUAAACCGAAAAAAUAUUGACUGACUUUAGAUUUUUCUUUGGAACAUGUGUAUGGAGAGUCCUCUUUUUUAGUGAGUUUUAUUGGCACAUGUAUGAUUGUUUAGUUUUUAUGUUAUUUUGUGAUGCUUUUUUUUGUUUAAUUGAAAAACAGAUAUAUAUUUGGUUUAUAAGCUUGUUAAUCAUGUGUUACUAUUAUUAAUUUUUUUUGGAUCUUUUUUUUAAUAUUUUGUGAAAUUGGAAAAGAAAGUAAUUAAAUUUUGAUAUUUUGAUGAAUU
RNAcentral lists this ribosomal RNA (417 nucleotides) under Loa loa (African eye worm). RNAcentral's name for it is "partial 12S ribosomal RNA". The record is from RNAcentral. Lineage: Eukaryota; Metazoa; Nematoda; Chromadorea; Rhabditida; Onchocercidae.